Molecule: unclassified non-coding RNA, 336 nt
Filed under: soil metagenome
Description: partial contains 5.8S ribosomal RNA, internal transcribed spacer 2, and large subunit ribosomal RNA
Rfam family: 5.8S ribosomal RNA (bases 1-120)
Source: RNAcentral
GAUGAAGAACGUAGUGAAAUGCGAUAAGUAGUGUGAAUUGCAGAAUUCAGUGAAUCAUCGAAUCUUUGAACGCACAUUGCGCCCCUUGGUAUUCCAUGGGGCAUGCCUGUUCGAGCGUCAUUUGUACCUUCAAGCUCUGCUUGGUGUUGGGUGUUUGUCUCGCCUCUGCGUGUAGACUCGCCUCAAAACAAUUGGCAGCCGGCGUAUUGAUUUCGGAGCGCAGUACAUCUCGCGCUUUGCACUCAUAACGACGACGUCCAAAAGUACAUUUUUACACUCUUGACCUCGGAUCAGGUAGGGAUACCCGCUGAACUUAAGCAUAUCAUAAGCGGAGGA